CCAGACUCCUACGGGAGGCAGCAGUGGGGAAUAUUGCACAAUGGGGGGAACCCUGAUGCAGCGACGCCGCGUGGGCGAGGAAGUAUUUCGGUAUGUAAAGCCCUAUCGGCAGGGAAGAAGAAAUGACGGUACCUGAAUAAGAAGCCCCGGCUAACUACGUGCCAGCAGCCGCGGUAAUACGUAGGGGGCAAGCGUUAUCCGGAUUUACUGGGUGUAAAGGGGGCGCAGACGGCGAUGCAAGCCAGGAGUGAAAGCCCGGGGCCCAACCCCGGGACUGCUCUUGGAACUGCGUGGCUGGAGUGCAGGAGGGGCAGGCGGAAUUCCUGGUGUAGCGGUGAAAUGCGUAGAUAUCAGGAGGAACACCGGUGGCGAAGGCGGCCUGCUGGACUGCAACUGACGUUGAGGCCCGAAAGCGUGGGGAGCAAACAGGAUUAGAUACCCGAGUA
RNAcentral lists this ribosomal RNA (446 nucleotides) under uncultured bacterium. RNAcentral describes it as "partial 16S ribosomal RNA". It matches the Rfam family "Bacterial small subunit ribosomal RNA", at positions 331 to 792 of the family's 1533-position model. The record is from RNAcentral.